Molecule: ribosomal RNA, 253 nt
Filed under: uncultured bacterium
Lineage: Bacteria
Description: partial 16S ribosomal RNA
Rfam family: Bacterial small subunit ribosomal RNA
Source: RNAcentral
UACGGAGGGUGCGAGCGUUGUCCGGAAUCACUGGGCGUAAAGGCGCGUAGGCGGCCUGAUAAGUAGGGGGUGAAAUCCUGCGGCUUAACCGCAGGGCUGCCUUCUAAACUGUCAGGCUAGAGCACAGUAGAGGCAGGUGGAAUUCCCGGUGUAGCGGUGGAAUGCGUAGAGAUCGGGAAGAACAUCAGUGGCGAAGGCGGCCUGCUGGGCUGUUGCUGACGCUGAGGCGCGACAGCGUGGGGGAGCAAACAGG